GGAGUGCUUGCACUCUGUGAAACAAGAUACAGGCUAGCGGCGGACGGGUGAGUAACACGUGGGUAACCUGCCCAAGAGAUCGGGAUAACACCUGGAAACAGAUGCUAAUACCUGAUAACAACAGAUGAUGCCUAUCAACUGUUUAAAAGAUGGUUCUGCUAUCACUCUUGGAUGGACCUGCGGUGCAUUAGCUAGUUGGUAGGGUAACGGCCUACCAAGGCGAUGAUGCAUAGCCGAGUUGAGAGACUGAUCGGCCACAUUGGGACUGAGACACGGCCCAAACUCCUACGGGAGGCAGCAGUAGGGAAUCUUCCACAAUGGACGCAAGUCUGAUGGAGCAACGCCGCGUGAGUGAAGAAGGGUUUCGGCUCGUAAAGCUCUGUUGUUGGUGAAGAA
RNAcentral lists this ribosomal RNA (396 nucleotides) under uncultured Lactobacillus sp. Its description in RNAcentral is "bacterial SSU rRNA". It matches the Rfam family "Bacterial small subunit ribosomal RNA", at positions 73 to 449 of the family's 1533-position model. Lineage: Bacteria; Bacillati; Bacillota; Bacilli; Lactobacillales; Lactobacillaceae. The record is from RNAcentral.